AGGCGCCGCCGUUGACCCUGCUGUUACCAGGCGCGCGCACAGCCAAUCAGCACCCCGCGCCGGCGCCGGCCGGCCUUUGAACUCGGCACGGCAACUUCCUGCUGUUUGGCGAGUACACAGUGCAAUGCAGUAUGUCUGUCAGCGCUGCGGCACAAAGGAACAGCCAUUUUGUGACUGAGCUGGACCUGCAUCAAGAUGCCAGGGGCUCAAAGAGCUGCUGACACAAGAGCUCCGCAGAAUGAAGACAAAUAUAUUCUAAAAUACACAAAGG
This 271-nucleotide long non-coding RNA is filed under the name Homo sapiens (human). RNAcentral describes it as "HSALNT0224820". The record is from RNAcentral. Lineage: Eukaryota; Metazoa; Chordata; Mammalia; Primates; Hominidae.